GAUGAAGAACGUAGCGAAAUGCGAUAAGUAGUGUGAAUUGCAGAAUUCAGUGAAUCAUCGAAUCUUUGAACGCACAUUGCGCCUUCUAGUAUUCUGGGAGGCAUGGCUGUUUGAGCGUCAUUAAACCUCUCUCAAGUAUGAUUACUUGGAUGUGAAGGAAGAGUACCUUAAACUUAAGGAGUGUUCUCCUUUGAAAUUGAUUAGCAGAUGGUAAUGUUAUUAAAUCCCUGAUGUUGUAAGAAAUAACAGUGGUUUUGUAGACUAUUAUCUAGCUUUAAAUUAUAAUUUUUAUUAUGGUUGACCUCAAAUCAGGUAAGGAUACCCGCUGAACUUAAGCAUAUCAAUAAGCGGAGGA
Molecule: unclassified non-coding RNA, 355 nt
Filed under: soil metagenome
Description: partial contains 5.8S ribosomal RNA, internal transcribed spacer 2, and large subunit ribosomal RNA
Rfam family: 5.8S ribosomal RNA (bases 1-120)
Source: RNAcentral